Molecule: long non-coding RNA, 367 nt
Organism: Hyla sarda
Lineage: Eukaryota; Metazoa; Chordata; Amphibia; Anura; Hylidae
Exons: 2
Source: RefSeq, a predicted model, not a curated record
UAUCCUUUAUUCUACUGCAUAUCUGCAAUAAACUUUAUGUUGGACAGACCAGUCCGCAACUGAAAAAACUGAAAAAAACAUCUCUCGACAAUUUCACUAGCAAGAAGGGAUAUAGCGAUGCAGAGAAAUCUUACAUCAGUGGCGAAACAUUUUAUAAAAGUCCACUCUAGUAGUCUGAAGGGUCUGAAAGUAUUUGGGUUGGAGAAGAUCACAACAAAUAUACGGGGAGGUUCAAUAACGAACAGGCUACUCCAGAUCGAAUCAAAAUGGAUAUACACACUGGGAACGGAGGCACCACAUGGACUCAAUGAAGAGAAUUUAUCUAGAGAUGGAUUCACGGGAAGUAUUAUCUUGGAUUUAAGAAAAG